AGAUAUAAACUACCCGGCUUCACUUUUUAUAAGCUUAAUAUGUACUAAUAGAAAAUAAAAUCAGCUAAGUUGAUUUUAAGCCUCUGGAUUUUAAUUUGACUUGAUGAAAAGAAAAGCCCGCCAGUUAAAUUAAAACCAAAUAGUUAGCUAGUUCAAAAAGUUCAAAGCAAUUUUUUAACUUAUCCAGUUCAAAAGGUUGAAUCGAACUGUUUUAUAAACUAGACAACGAUCAGAUCGUUUUAUUUAAAAUAUUAUAACAUAUAGUAGCCAAUAAAAAAAAAGACACUAAGAGAAAUUAGUAUCAGGGUUCUAGAGACGAAUAAAACGAAAGAAAUAUUCAUUUUCCAAUUUUUUAAAGUUUUUAAAAAAUUACAUAUGCCAGUAAUCAUCGAUAUCUGCGAAUUACCCAAAAUAUAUAUAAUUUAGCAUAUAUCCUCCUAUUUUAUUCAUAAUCUGUUGGAUAAAAAGAAUUAUUAUUCUUGUCCGUAAUUUUGAGAAUAAUUCGUGAAUCGUGAAUACCUGUAGUACGGAUUGAGAUUGUCGGGUCUAGUCGGAAUCAACAUA
Molecule: long non-coding RNA, 564 nt
Filed under: Ananas comosus (pineapple)
Lineage: Eukaryota; Viridiplantae; Streptophyta; Magnoliopsida; Poales; Bromeliaceae
Description: long non-coding RNA (ACOM_LNC022587)
Source: RNAcentral